ACUUGUUUGUUGCUGUUUCGCCAACAUGAGAGUUUCACAUAUUCUGUACAUGGAAUUUGCUGCCAACACCCUGAUGGGCCAACGUGACGGAACCUCCUUCCAAAAAUCAUUCAUAUGCAUCAUGUCUAUAUCGGAGAAUUCCUUGAAUUUUUCCUUUGAGAUAUCAGAUAGUAAUUUGAUAAUUUCAAUUUCUGUUGCAGGUUCUCGUUGAUGUGCUAGCUUACCAAGAUCAACAUCUAACCACUUGUUAUACAGUUCAACUCCUGACCAUACAACUUCUGCUGCUUUCGUGACAUGUUUCAAGUCUUUUUUGUUGUCCAGAUGAUUCUCUAUCUCACUGACAUACUUCAAC
RNAcentral lists this long non-coding RNA (352 nucleotides) under Lactuca sativa (garden lettuce). Its description in RNAcentral is "long non-coding RNA (LSAT_LNC008888)". The record is from RNAcentral. Lineage: Eukaryota; Viridiplantae; Streptophyta; Magnoliopsida; Asterales; Asteraceae.